Osmerus eperlanus (European smelt) is the source of this 1703-nucleotide long non-coding RNA. RefSeq lists it as uncharacterized. The record is from RefSeq and is a predicted model, not a curated record. NCBI's taxonomy places the organism in Eukaryota, Metazoa, Chordata, Actinopteri, Osmeriformes, Osmeridae. The transcript is spliced from 2 exons.
GUCAAGGAAAUGGGCACAGAGGGCACUGCCAAGUUAAUGCAGGCAGGACAUGAGCUUGUAUGCGGCCCUGCCCUCCUAAUCACCGACGUGGAGAUACGGGUUGUUGGCCAAGGCCUCGUGCAGUUGUAAUCGCUGCGUCCUUAAUGUUGGGUGGGUUAUUUGUAACUUGUUGGCAGCCAUUUUGGAGGCCUGUUCCAGCCAGAGAGUUGAUGAAGACUGAAAGAGAUCUGAACUCAACCUGAACUGUCUCUGUCAUUGUUGCCUGACUUAUGACACCCAGGAAUGUGUAAAUGGUUUGUGGUUGUUCGGGGACAAUUUGAAACUGUAUUGGAAGGAGGAAGAGAAAAUGGAGAAAGGAUGAAUGCUCACACAAAUACAUUUCUCCAUUCUUGGACAGAGAGAGAGAACUUGACAGAAACUGGGUCGGAAAUUCACCUUUUGGCAAGACAAAACAAAGAGUAGAAAGACAAGAAAUAGACAUCAAACUGUUAUAAAUCUUCUCUUCUCUGAAAUUACGAGUAUGGGGAAAAAAGAAAGAAAAGGAGAUCAUAAGGAGGUCAAAAACCAGAUUUGGACUCAACUGGAGUAUAACCAUUCUCCUUCUGCAUAUCUUAAAUUGAUGUGAGUGACCACAUUCAUUUUCAUUUGUGGCCAAAAUUGUAUGUUGGGCUUAUAAAUUAAGACAUUUUGUGCACACUGGGCAUGCUCCACACAGUGUCAUGGAGGUAGGUGACAUCCACUCACAGUUACCGGAGAGAGACAAAGUUUCUCUGGAAGUUUAUGGAGAUGGCUGCUGCGGGUUUGAGAAAUUGUAUUUUAAUUGUUUUGAAUUACAUCCACAGCAUGUCACAAGUGAUGUACUGACUGGCAAAGGCCACGAUGACUCAGCAAUCUAGAUGUCUGAGAUGUUUCAAUUUAUGUUUCACAUAAAACUAUCUUCAGACAAAACAAAGACCUGCUUCCACAUAACUGUGUGAGAACCCCUCUCAUCCUUUCCCUGUAAUUGUUUACACUUAACAACCACAGACAAAACAGGCUGCUGCAAAUGACAUGACAAAUAUUAAGUUUAACAGCUAAAACAAUUCUACAUUUGUAUUUAUGUGUUAGCUGUGUUCCUAUGGGAAGCUGUGGAUGGAGGGACUCUAUGUGACUAAGGAAAUCGUCCCUGAGGGAAUCGAUGAACAGAGGCUUGGGAAAGCACUGUAUAUACACUCUCUAAAGACUGCCCAGAGUUAAACACUACACUUAGCUACAUGCGUACGAGCCUAACCGGCAUGUCGGCUUUCUAAACAGCACAUGCUGAACCACAGACAGCUGUGGGAACCAGCCUAAAAGUGCUUUCAAGUGAGAUUAACAUGUAUAUACAUUUAAAAAUAAAAUUGCCCUAAAAAAAUGCUGGAAAAAUAGCAGCAAAACUGGUUUAGUCAUUUGUAAAGAGUUUAGAUUUAUUGUGUGUUGUUCAUUUGCUAUAUUCCAAAUCUCGUUGUAAUAUCCAAUUGAAUUACGUGCAUCCUUUAUAAUAAUUGGUUCAGAUUUGUCCCUCAUUGAUUGUGUAAGAUCAUGCAUCUCAAAGAUACACUUGUCUUAACUGGGAAGCAUUUUCUGUUACAUAGUCAGCUCAAUAAUAAUUGUAUUACUCCGAAUAUUGAAUUAACCAUAAAAAAUCUAUUUGGCACAGUGAAAUAAAGCAAGCCAAACUUACA